This is a long non-coding RNA of Neofelis nebulosa (Clouded leopard), 836 nucleotides long. RefSeq lists it as uncharacterized. The transcript is spliced from 3 exons. Lineage: Eukaryota; Metazoa; Chordata; Mammalia; Carnivora; Felidae. The record is from RefSeq and is a predicted model, not a curated record.
CACAUCUUCUCCCUCAAGACUGAAAGCAACCGAAGCAGCCCAAGUGCAGGGGCGGCAUCCCCUUUUCCUGUGUACCCUCAGAGUUUGGUGCAGUGUCUGCAACAGAGGAGCCAUUCACUAAGUGCUUGUGGAAGGACUGAAGUCCCUACUUUCCUGGCCACUGCUCAGCACGAUGGCAGCUUGACUUGGGCUCCUGAUCCACUUGCUGUCAGUCUACGGAGGCGAGGCCAUCGAUUAUUUGUCAUACCUGUCUAUGCGGCAAAGCGCCCUGGAUCUUCACUUGGUUGUCCUCAUUCAGGCAUCACUGCAAACAUCUUUUAGGCACUUACUACGUGUCAGGCAUUGGGCGGUGAACAAAACCUGCUUCCCGUUCUCAAGAACCUCAACGGGGACACUGAAGAGCUGGACAGUUUCCCUCUUCCAUUUGACAUCUUAGAUCUGGCAGAAUAGAGACUUGAGGUUACAGUGCUGGGCACAUAGCAGGCUUCUUAAAGAUUCGCUGACAACCAACUAGUGCGUGAGGAUAAAAAGAGGAUUCCGUGUCCUUUGCCUCCUAUCUACCGUGGAGGCUGUGUGAAAUGAAGUGCUAACAUGAGGGCACUGGAGAAACUUCCAGGGAAACAUCCAAGUUAAAGAAUACCCACCUUUUGACAUUGCUAUCAAUAGAUACCUGGAUGAGAAGAAUUCAACAAAAAAAAUUUAGCCAAGAUUCUGGUGCUUGGGGUGCACAGGUAAGAUAAACAGCAAUCUGUUUUUCUUCUUCAGGGUGUUACAUACCAUGUCAGAACUUGAGAAAAUAGAUUUUAAUUAGUUAAACAGCAGAAUUAGGUUAAGGA